Molecule: long non-coding RNA, 238 nt
Filed under: Salvia miltiorrhiza (redroot sage)
Lineage: Eukaryota; Viridiplantae; Streptophyta; Magnoliopsida; Lamiales; Lamiaceae
Description: long non-coding RNA (SMIL_LNC001526)
Source: RNAcentral
AGAAUGAAAUAUAGUGACAUACAUAAAAUUGUGGGACAAUGGAUCUCACCCCUUAUAGUGUGAUGUUUCACUUCAUCUCAAUAUGCUUAAACAUAAGGAGCUUAAUUAUUUUGAGUUUGUUUACUAUAUUUUUACAGCGACUAAUCAUCUUAGCAAACAGUUGAUUCCGAGGAAAGUGAAAGAAGCAAUCAGUUGUGUGUGAUUCAGUGAAGCAAGCGAUCUAGUGAAGAAGGAAUAA